Molecule: long non-coding RNA, 4401 nt
Filed under: Nicotiana tabacum (common tobacco)
Lineage: Eukaryota; Viridiplantae; Streptophyta; Magnoliopsida; Solanales; Solanaceae
Description: long non-coding RNA (NTAB_LNC002368)
Source: RNAcentral
GAAAAAGUGCCUUCCAUCAUUUUUGACACACACGACAGAGUCUAGAAUCUGCUCUCGUCUUCCGUCUCUUCUAUUCCAACCGAUGGAGGAGUUUCAGUUCGCCUUCUUCAAACUUUCAACAAUACUCGUAGCUCUUUUCGUCUUCUUAUCUAUCUAUUAGAUUUCAGGCAUUAUUCGCUCAAUCCUUGCUCGCAUCUUCUUUGUUUUCUCUUUGUCUUCUUUUCUUUCUUUGCUACUUUUAGAUCUAUUUAACUGUUUUCAAUUUCAUGGAUAAAUUUCCUUGGAUUUUGUAUUUUCCAACCAGAUGAUGCGGAAUUACCAUUUUAAGGGCUAUUCUCCGUCCAAUUUCAUUGAUGUUGCCUUCUUCUUGCUGAUUCACCUCUAUCUCUUCUUCUUCAUAAGGUAUUGAAAUUUAUUGUUCUACUAACUUAAAACAAAAAGGAUAUUUAAUUUUACUCCUAAUUCAUGUUGUUCUUCCUUUUCUUUACAUUUUUUGUAUAUGUUAUAUUUCUAUGAAUUGUGAAUCGCGAGUAUGUUUUCAGGCUCUUCUUAACUGCCUCUGCGCACACCCCUCACUCUCCAUAGCCGAGGAAAAGAACAGUAAGAACUCAUGAUAACCUAAUUUUGAUAAAGCACUAAAAUUGGUGUAUGGGUUGAGAUUGAAAUAAAGUGAAUGAAUUAAGUCAAAUGGCUAUUGGGAAAAAUUUAUGCAUAUAAAUUUCUAUUGACAGAUUUUAUUCAUUAUUUCAUGUCUUAGGAAUGCUUAAUUAGGCUUAAGAUGAUUUGGGAACUUUUCUUAAAAGUUGUGUUCGAGCAACAUCUGAUUGUUUAAACUUAAAUUCAUUUAUCUGGCUACAAAUUUAUGGAAUAAGGAAGGUAUGUUAAAGGGCAUGUAAUGGGAUUGCUUUAUAUGAUGACUCAUUGUUGUUGAUGGGAUUUGAAAGUAGAGGAAUAUUUAAAAGUAGAGGAGUAGGAAGUAGAGCACCGAGGAUUGAUAAAGAUUGUAUGAAGUUGCAAGACACUAAUGGUCCAGAAAAAGGACGAGAAAAUAGCACAGAUAUCCAAAACUUUAAGAAGCAGACAAGAGGAAUAGAGAUGUAAGGACAUGUAUAAGAGGAUACCUAAGCCAAGGAAGUAGCUUAAUUUUUUUUAUUUUUUUAUUCCUUGUUUAUUGGCAUCCACUGAUACAAUGUGUGUUCAACUAUAAAUUAUAGUUGUUUGUCUUAUUGGAAAUUCUCAUUCACCCAUCUUUAAGCCUAAUUUGUCUUAUUUUCUACUGAUAUGUCCAUGUCUUAUUAUCAACAUAUGUUAUCUUCACCUAUACUUUCUUAUUAUUCUCUACUUUUAUGCAAUUUUAUUAGAAUAUUCUUUAAGUUUGUAUUUUAUUAAGAUAUUUUGUCCAAAAGUAUAAGUGACGGAUGGAUCUUUCCAUCUUGCAUACUUGACUGAUUGAUUCACUUGGUUACUUCUUGACAAUUGGUUUUUUCUCCUGUUAGUUCAGUACCGAAUGCAUAUGGAUUAUCAGGUUUGUAUAUUUAUCAGUGGAAAAUAUUAUUGCAUUCAUAAAUACACUUUGUUUUAACAUAAAUAUAGCAUGUAUUAAAACAUUCUUCCAUGAUGAUUACUUUCAACUUUUACAAAUUAAAACUAUUACAGGAACCUAGAAAAAGGAUUAUUUUCAAGGUCAUGAAAGAGUACUCAAAGGUCCUCCUCCAUCACUUCAAGUGGCAAAGGCUGUGAACUAUUUAACUUGGUACCCUUCUUUUUAUCCAUCAAGGCCUCUACAUGCUGCUCUUUACUUCCUUUUUGGGUGUAAGUUUUUUUUUCUUCAUAUUUAUGUUUAUCAUUGUGAUUAUUGAUGGUAAGGCCCAGCUCUCUUCGCAUUCAGUUUCUUAAAUCAAUUGGUGUGUUUGCUUUUGUGCUUUUAAUUUAUUUCAUCACUUUCAAGUUGUAGUUACAAGUUCAAAGAUCAAUUGAUUUUUUUUUAAUAUUCCGGAACAUAUGAUGACUAAUAGCUUGUUUGGCCAAGCUGCAAAAAUUAACUUAUUUUGAGAAGUGUUUUUUCUCAAAAGUGCUUUUUUCAAAAGUAUUUUUUGGUGAGAAUCAGUUUGUGUUUGGCUAAUUAAUUUGAAAAGCACUUCUGAGCAGCAAUUAGUAUUUGGCCAAGUUUUUAAAAACUGCUUCUAAGUGUAUUUUUCUUAAAAGUGCUUUUCAAAAAAGUGCUUUUGGAGAGAAGCUACUUUUUUCUGCUUCUCCAAAACUGCUUCUGCUUCUCCUCAAAAGCACUUUUCUUUCUUCAAAAAGCUUGGUCAAACACUUUAACUUUGAAAAAAAAGUACUUCUUUUAAAAAGAAAAGUGCUUUUGGCUUUGGAGAAGCUGGGCCAAACAGGCGAUAAGUCUAGCAUUCAAAAACUUUCCUCUUAGUUAGAAAAGGUAGUAUUGUAAUGCAUGAAAUAACUGGUGAUCGAGGAGGUUUUAUAUUCAUACUUUGAAAGUUCUAGCUUUGAUAUUGCCUAUUAUUUGUGGCUACAAGAGUUGCUUUAAUUUUUAUUUGGCUGAAUAGGUAGGGUGAUUUAUGAUACAAUAACAUGUCGUAGUAUGUACACUUUCGGAAAUAAGUACUUCGUAAAAUUGUACUAUUGUUAGGUAUUGAGUUUUAUUUGUGAAUUGAAGUAUAUAACUCUUUCGCACAGUGUAUUAAUACCAUGAGAUAUUUUUCCGUUCUAUGAGUUUAUCUACUAAGAUUAAGGACAAAUAAAAUAAGAAAUCAAGGAUAGUUUUGCAUAAUUAUUGUAGUGUAUUUGGUAACAGUGGCAUGGUAUAACUUUGUUUGUUUCCUUGGUUAUAAGUCUUUGCAAAUUAAAUAUAAUGUACUACAAAUGUAUUUAUAAAAAAGUGCAAUUUAUGCAAAAAGGGUGACAAGAACAAACCAAAAUUUUGAGGAAAAAAAAAAACAUAUUACCUAGGCUGAGUGCCAUUUCAAACAUAAGGUGCUCUUGCAGAUAGAAUAACACAAAAACGUCAUUAUUGUUACUUAGUUGAUCAACCAUUAGAAGUUUGUUGAUUGACCGUUGUUUGGGAAGUUCUAGAAUAAGUACCAUCUUGAGCUAACUAUCUUGAACACAAUUUUAUGUUUGAUUAUAUCUUCUUCAGUAUUUCGUGAACUCUAAAUUAUUUUCAUUGUUGACUCUGGUAGAAAUUGAUUAUUCAUCAAUGGGAGAUUUAAAAGAACCCCAUGACUGAGGUAUGUAUUAGGUCUUGAGCACUACCAGCUUACUCAAUAUAUUUAGAUAUAAAGAAUGUGUUUUAUUGUAAUUGUCUUGAAGAGUUUGUACUUGAAUUAAACUAUCUACUCAGUUUCCUUUCGAUAUUUGACUUAUGGAACUUCAGUUUGAUACUUUAUGUGAUAAAUACAGUCAAUAAAUCAAUCUAUCUAUGUCUUGAAACAGAGAAGAAACUUUUCAAUUAAGGUUUGUGAAGAAAAUGAGAAAAGCAAAGUGGAUCACUUUUUUAUAUUUCCCUUUUCGUGUAUUAGAAAAUUUUAUUAUUGACAAAGACCACACUAAGAUAAUGCUGAGAUGACAUAAAAGAAAUAUUAAUAUCAGUCCAUAUUUAUUCUUGCAGUGAUGACAAAAAAUAUAUCAAUGUAUUUACUUCAUAUCCUUAUAUGUUCUUUAUAACGAAUGAACUUUUUGUGUCACUUAAUAGUCAUAUGAUAUUAAUGUAUCUUUUUCUUUUAUAUGAGGGAAAGUAAAAUGCAUUGACCAACUUUUCUGGACAUCAUUUGCAUUUCACAUAAGUUGUGUCAGCAUUAGCUUAUCAAAGAAAACAUAAGGCUUAGCAUUUUUUCGAUUUUUUCGUUAAUUGUUAGGUGGUUAAAUCUUAAUGAUAGGAAGAUCCUAUACUGUUUUGAUAAAAUAUUAUAUUUGAUGUAUCUUUAGAUUGUAGUAACAGUGUCUUGCUAUAAAAGGCCAUAAUUUGACUCUUGAGUAUAGUAUUUUUCGAGUAGUUUAUUUGUGGUGAUCGCACUUAUCUCUUUAUGUCGUGAUAUUUUUCAAUUCUUGCUAUCAUUUAAUAUUUUCUAUCUCUAAAUAUUUGACUUCUUAUUCUCUACUUGGAAUAGGACAGGUUGUCUGAAGAACACAUAGUAGCAGAUGUAUGAAUGCAAUACACAAAAUAUUUGCCAUACUUUAUGUGGCUCUUAGUUGGACUAUGUUCUCUUUUGUUUAUAGUACAAACACGGAUAGCAACUGAUAUAUUUAGUUGAUCACGUAGCAUAAGAUAGUGGGUAGAAAACGAUGAAGAAAUAAGGCGUACUUGAGCUUGAGUUUGAUUUUGUAAGUAUAUUUAAAGGAAGUUGAAGAAAAGGAAAUAUUUAGCUCAAUUUUGAUAAAUCUAGG